AGCUGUUCAAUUUUUAUCAUCGCAUUUGGUCAUUUUUUAAAUUACUUUUUACUACAUUAGAAUAAGUCUUCUUACUGUUGUUACUUGCCUCAUUGUUAGUGGAAUUUAAUUUAGGUAACCCAUUACUUAAGAUAGGGAAUUUUUGUUGGUCCAUAUAUUUUUCCUCUUUUCAAUAGUUUGCAUAAAUCGGUUUAUUUUGGUUGAGUUAUUGGUAUACAGCGCAGCCUUUAUAAUUCGCUGUAUGGUUUUGCAUGCAAUAUAUACAUAUGGGUAAUGUGUCUUUGGGUUUAGUGCAUUGAGCAGUUCGAUGCAUUAAAUUACAUUUUACACAUUUAUAUGGUUUUUUUACAAUAUAUUACAGUGUUCGGCCGGUGGUCUUCCUUCUAAAAAACUUUCCUACUUUUGGUCUGCAAACGAUUUUUUUGCGAUUUCUUGGAAUAAGACGAAAAAGUGAAUGAAAAAUUAUCACUUUUUCAUCCCGCGUCAGUCUCUUAUAUUUUGAGCUUAUUUUUAAACUUACUAACAGCCCGAUUCUGUGCACUUGAUAAAUUCACCAUCUUGCUUAUUUAUCAAGUCUUUGGUAUUCUGUGUCAAAAACCAAAAGCUCUUUUCUAGAUAAAUUAUCAAGAUGUCAAAUGCUCUUGACAAAUUCAACAACUGUUUGUGAAAAUAUUGUGAACACAUUUUAAUUGUAAUUUUGAUUGAAAUUAAUUAAAAUAAAAUGGAAGAAGACAUAUUAAUAUUGUUGCUGUUAGAAGAGGAGGAAAAUUUAGAAAAUGGAGAUCGCUCGCGUUAUUUCAGGACUUACUUACGGCCUCAUGAUCAACAAAAGACUUCAUUGCCUUUGACCAUUAGAGUCCUGGCAACUUUAAAUUUCUUUGGUCACGGUUCCUACCAAAAAUGUGUCGGUAAUAACUGCAACUUGCCAAUGAGUCAGUCGUCACUCUCGAGAAGUAUGCGGGCCGUGGCCAAACUUAUAGUAAAAGUUAAAGGAGAAGAAAUAAAAUUUCCUAGUUCCACUGAGGAAGAAAAUAUAGUCAGAACCGGAUUUUUCACAAAAUACGGAAUAAAGAGUACUAUAGGAGCAAUAGACUGUACACAUGUUGCAAUUAUUGCUCCUGCGUCAAAUAAUAUUGAACGUCCCCUUGGCUUAUAUUUAAAUAGGCAGGGCUUCUACAGCAUUAAUGUCGAAGCGGUAUGUGAUCACCGUUUAUGCUUCACGUUUCUAAAUGCUAAAUUUCCGGGUGCGACAUAUGACUCUGGAAUUUGGGCAACUUUUGACCUACGAGAGCAUCUCAUUCGUCAACACACCAAUGACUCUGUAGGGCACCGAAGG
Long non-coding RNA from Bactrocera dorsalis (oriental fruit fly), 1336 nucleotides. RefSeq lists it as uncharacterized. Lineage: Eukaryota; Metazoa; Arthropoda; Insecta; Diptera; Tephritidae. The record is from RefSeq and is a predicted model, not a curated record. The transcript has 3 exons.